RNAcentral lists this ribosomal RNA (446 nucleotides) under uncultured bacterium. Its description in RNAcentral is "partial 16S ribosomal RNA". It matches the Rfam family "Bacterial small subunit ribosomal RNA", at positions 338 to 795 of the family's 1533-position model. The record is from RNAcentral.
CCUACGGGUGGCAGCAGUCGAGAAUCAUUCACAAUGGGGGAAACCCUGAUGGUGCGACGCCGCGUGGGGGAAUGAAGGUCUUCGGAUUGUAAACCCCUGUCAUGUGGGAGCAAAUUAACAAGAUAGUACCACAAGAGGAAGAGACGGCUAACUCGGUGCCAGCAGCCGCGGUAAUACAGAGGUCUCAAGCGUUGUUCGGAAUAACGGGGCGUAAAGGGUGCGUAGGCUGUUUCGUAAGUAGGGUGUGAAAGGCGCGGGCUCAACCCGCGGACGGCACCUGAUACUGCGAGACUAGAGUAAUGGAGGGGGGACCGGAAUUCUCGGUGUAGCAGUGAAAUGCGUAGAUAUCGGGAGGAACACUCGUGGCGAAGGCGGGUUCCUGGACAUUAACUGACGCUGAGGCACGAAGGCCAGGGGAGCGAAAGGGAUUAGAUACCCCUGUAGUC